AGGGGUGUCAAAUGGGGGUGUCAAAAAAAUUUAUUCCGCAUAACAAAGCCGUUUAUAAGCAUUUUGUUUGUGCGUUCGGGACGCAGAGGUCGCAAGUUCAAAUCUUGUCACCUCGACCA
RNAcentral lists this transfer RNA (119 nucleotides) under Ruminiclostridium sp. RNAcentral describes it as "tRNA-OTHER". The record is from RNAcentral. Lineage: Bacteria; Bacillati; Bacillota; Clostridia; Eubacteriales; Oscillospiraceae.